GGCGGAGGAGGGUCCCGUGCUUCGCGGAAAGCCGGGGCGUGGGAAGGGCCUGCAGCGCGAGGUCCGGCUGUGUGUCCCUUUCAGCGCUUGGGGCCGAGGCCGGGAUGGCUCCUUGGAGCUUCCAGUAUUUACUUAGCACCUACUACGUGCCCAGCCCUGUGGAUACAGAGAUGAACAAAGCCUAAUUCCUGCUCACAAAAGACUUUCUGACUAGUGAUGUGACUACCCUGUUUAUGAAGAGAGAAAAACUGAGAGCCAGGGAAGGAACAGACCGGCUCAGGAUCACACAGCUUGAGGGACUGCCCUGGUCUGAAGUAAUUUCCUCUACAAAUUUCAAGUAAAUCUUUGAAAUGGAGCAAAGUCCACUACAAUGCAAAACUUGUCUCUGUUCUGCGUGUGGAGCCCAUCUCAAAUAAAGGUGGGCGAAGCUCUUAUCUCUGGGCGGUGGAUAAAGAAGUGACUGUCUCGUGUUCCUCUGGAGCUUUCUCAGUUCCAGGGCUGGAUACCACUGUCUGAUCCUGCCUCCUUUCCUGCGCUGGACCAAGGCCCAGAUGAGCAGCUGGGGACACAAGGCUGAAUGGAGCAGCAGGAAGAGGCUGUAGGCGGCAGAGUUCAUUCAGAAGAAAGCCCUACUCAGAGCUGCUGAGGGCACCUCAUGGUGGUAGUGGUGGUGGGGGCUUUACCACUCCCCCCUGGCUGCAAGGGUACAAACUCCAACAAACCCCUCUCCCUCUGACCAGUAUCUGUUACCAACUUCAGGAAGGGGGUAUGGAACCCUAAGUCCCUGCCAUUUUACUCCUAGGAUCUGUGCCAGACCAUCCUUAGCAAGACUUGAUCCAACCUCUCCCCAUUUUAUAGAUGAAGAAGCAGAGGUGCAGGAAGGAAAGCUGGUGGCAUGGCCCAGGCUCACGGGGGGAGGCAGAAGCAGAGGCAGGACUAGAACCCAGGUCUUCCCACUACAAGUCCUCUCCCCUCCUCCACUUGGCCUGUGUGCAGAAGUGUGCUCCCUUUGACUGGGACCGGGGGCGGUCCUCAGAGAACAGGGUGACCCAGAUCUCCUUAAUGGAGGGCUGGGAGACCUCACACCCCACGCCUCCCUGACUCAGGUUCCUGUCCCUUGGCUUGUUUCCCCACCGUCAGUCUAGCAAAUUGGGACAAUUUAGACGGAAGUCCAAGAUGUACAACCCUUGAAGUCUCUAUGCAUUUGGCUCUUGUCUGGCCAAGUUCAUCUUAGUCCCAGGAGGUAGAGGCCAG
This is a long non-coding RNA of Prionailurus viverrinus (fishing cat), 1254 nucleotides long. RefSeq lists it as uncharacterized. The transcript has 5 exons. The record is from RefSeq and is a predicted model, not a curated record. NCBI's taxonomy places the organism in Eukaryota, Metazoa, Chordata, Mammalia, Carnivora, Felidae.